GAGUUUGUGCUGCAGUGCGCAUCGUGGCUGCCCCCGCCCCCACCCAGCAUAGCCCUCUGAAGUAGUAAGCCACCAUCGUGCUGCUACUAAGGAGGGUGUGAAGCACUGGAGAUAUGCAGGAAAAAAAAGAAAACGAACCACUUCCCCGUGUCUUCUUUUCACCUCGUGCAUUGGCACACCUCACGCAUCGUCCACCUCCACUUUUUCAUCAAUGCAAGCAUCCUUCUCCUCCUCCCUCACACCUGGGGCCGCGCCGCAGCCAGAGAGCGCUUCAAGCUCUACAAUUACGGGGCAGCGCGUCACACUCAGUGCUAAGCAAGCUGCUGUCAGCAGCGCAGUCGAUCCGAAUGCGGCUGAGGUUGUUCGCGUUUCCUUGUUCCCUGGGCGGGUCGUGAUGCUGCGCUGUGCCGGUGACACAUCGCCCGGUUGGAACGACGUGGUGGCGCAGGACAACCAUUGGCGUCAGCCGUGAUCUCGUCAGCGUUCCGCGUCGGUGUUCGAAGAACGGUCUCAACAGAAUCAGAAACCGUACCGCGUUGCGGUCGUGCAACGAUUCGAUUGUGCACUUGGUUGAAAUCCAGCGUCUGUGUGUAUGCCCGCAGUGUUUUCGAUGUUGUUUGUCUCUUCAUGAUCUUUGUUGACACUGCUUUAUUGGACGCUACGGUAAGUCGAGCAAGAAUAUGUGUAGAUGCAUAUGCAAAGGAUGGUACAUUUACGAGGGUGGCGUCGAAGAGAGAGCCAGGCAUAUGUGUCUCGCACGUAUCCUGUGUUCGCCACUCGCUUCCCCUCGCCCCUCCCACCCGUCUAACUCAUCCCUCUGGUGAUGUGCGCCUUGCUUCGCUUGCGGGCGCAUAUGUUGCCUUUUUUUUCUCUCCCUACGCUAACUUCCACACACACGCAUACACGUGCACACGGUCUCUCCCCUCCCUCGCCAUCAUUACCAUCUCGAACACGCACACACGCGCCUGUGUGACAACCAUUACCACCUUGCCCGUGUACGGCGUUGCCACAAAG
Molecule: unclassified non-coding RNA, 1014 nt
Filed under: Leishmania donovani
Lineage: Eukaryota; Euglenozoa; Kinetoplastea; Trypanosomatida; Trypanosomatidae
Description: gene:unknown
Source: RNAcentral